RNAcentral lists this ribosomal RNA (519 nucleotides) under uncultured Actinomycetes bacterium. RNAcentral's name for it is "bacterial SSU rRNA". It matches the Rfam family "Bacterial small subunit ribosomal RNA", at positions 355 to 888 of the family's 1533-position model. The record is from RNAcentral. Lineage: Bacteria; Bacillati; Actinomycetota; Actinomycetes.
UGGGGAAUCUUGCGCAAUGGGCGAAAGCCUGACGCAGCGAUGCCGCGUGCGGGAUGAAGGCCUUCGGGUUGUAAACCGCUUUCAGCAGGGACGAAAUUGACGGUACCUGCAGAAGAAGCCCCGGCCAACUACGUGCCAGCAGCCGCGGUAAUACGUAGGGGGCGAGCGUUGUCCGGAUUUAUUGGGCGUAAAGAGCUCGUAGGCGGUUCGGUAAGUCGGAUGUGAAAUCUCCAUGCUCAACAUGGAGGGGCCAUUCGAUACUGCCGUGACUCGAGUCCGGUAGGGGAGUGUGGAAUUCCCGGUGUAGCGGUGAAAUGCGCAGAGAUCGGGAGGAACACCCGUAGCGAAGGCGGUACUCUGGGCCGGUACUGACGCUGAGGAGCGAAAGCGUGGGGAGCAAACAGGAUUAGAUACCCUGGUAGUCCACGCCGUAAAACGUGGGUACUAGGUGUGGGACUCUAUCGACGGGUUCCGUGCCGUAGCUAACGCAUUAAGUGCCCCGCCUGGGGAGUACGGCCG